GGUCAGCACCAACGUCUUGCCGAAGCAGCAGUCGGUCGCGCAGCUUCUUCCACACGGUGUUGCAGAUCCUGCGCUCACUCAACAUGCUCUCCAGUGAGGCGCUCCGGCCGGCCCACCCUCCGGCAGCACUACAUUGAUGGCGAGUUCUUCAGCGGAUGUGACAUCACUGUCGAAAAAAGAGUCGUCGAGCCUGGGCGGAGGCCGUCGGGCGCUGAGAUCGGACACGUGGAGGCAGAUGCCAUCAGGACGGUCAAAUGCGUCCACACCACAGCUCAGUAUCCCACAAACAAAACUGUAGAUCGAUUCCAUCCUCCAUGAGUUCAACUUCAACUUCAAUCUCGGUCUUAUCCCAAGGCAGCGGCGUCGCCGCCUCCGCCGCCGCCGACAUGACCGACCUAGAGAGCAUAACCCACAUGCUGCAGUGGGUGGUGCCGUUCGCCUCGCCGCCGGCGGUAGAGCAGCUGGGGCGCGCGCUGUGGGGGCUGGGCUCCCUCACCCUUGUGCUGGCCCUCACCACCGUGCUCCACCAGCCGGCCGCCGGACCUGUCUUCGCCCACUACAAGGCCGCAUACUAUACCGUCCUUGCCUUCGUCCUCUUCGUCGCCGUGCCGGUGGAGCUGGGGAUCGCCUUCUGCCUGCCCCGCUGCAGCCACGGGCGCCGGAUCCAUCAUUUUGCCAGGGUUCUCGUCCCCUGCGCUUACCUGCUGCUCCUCGUCGUCAUCUCCGUCGGUGGAUUCGUCCCCUUUAAGCUCUGAACUACCUGCUGCUCCUCGUCGUCAUCUCUGCCGGUGGAUUCGUCCCCUUUAAGCUUUGAUCUACGUGCUGCUCUUCCUCGUCGUCAUCUCCGUCGGUGGAUUCGUCCCCUUUAAGCUCUGAUCUACGUGCUGCAGGGGUUGCUAUUCUUGGAAGUUAGUCUUGUACCUCAAGGAAAUGAAGCCAGUGGUUACGAACUUACGAUCUCUUUGUCGCACACCGUAAUUUGUUAUCUAUGGGGCUGUAGCCAGUGCUGAUUUAAUGCUCAAGCGCAGUCACAAUUUCCAGAUGAUCAGCACCGACGUCUUGCCAAAGCAGCACUCGACGUGUAAGGUCGGCUUCCCGCAGCGCGGCUUCUUCCACACGGUGGUGCAGUUCGUGUGCUCGCUCGAUGUGUCAGGUCGGCUUCCCGCAGCGCGGCUUCUUCCACACGGUGGUGCAGUUCGUGUGCUCGCUCGAUGUGUCAGGUCGGCUUCCCGCAGCGCGGCUUCUUCCACACGGUGGUGCAGUUCCUGUGCUCGCUCGACGUGCUCGUGAGUGAGGCCGAGGCGCUCCGGCAGGGGUUCAAUGAGUACUCCAGCUGGCCCACCUGGCCGCAGCAUUGCAUUGACGAAAAGGAGGAUGACCCCCGGCCUCUGCAUAACAAGUGCUGAUGUAUAGCUCAAGAUCUUGCUGCUCUUGUCUCUUGAAAUUGCAAAAUGAGUUCGGGUUGCUCCAAGCAAAAAUAGUGGUCCCUGAGGAUAUGAGAUGGAAGCAGGAAUAGUUGCGCUUGUCUGACAAGUCACUGAAUCUCUUCCCCAGGCCUAAUUGCAGCGGUCACCUUUUGUCACUAAGCACCACAUGCUACUGCCCAAGUUUUUGAACUGUACGCCUCUGUCUAUCUACUAGACAUGCGUGCCCCUUAUAUUUUGUUGUACUGCUGAUAUUUCAUCAAGAAAAACAUCAAGCUACUGCGUGUUAUGCUCUCACUCUGUGGCCUGCGGGACAAGGAUGUCAAGAAUGCUUUUGGUAACUGUAGUGUCGUUGUCCGUUUAUUCUGACUGCUAUAUUAUACACAAGAGUAACUAUGUUCCUAAAGUUAAAAUGCUGACACCCACACCCUGUUGAUAAAUUUGGUGAUUACAUUCUGAGUUGUCAUUAGCAGUUGGCCAUUGAUUACACAAACCUUAUAUUCUGAAUUGCAGUGUCCUCCUCUGCAGGUGUCUCACAUAAUACGAACAGCAAAAGGUGUACUCUGCUUUCUUGUUUACCGCGGCCACAAUUUCCAAGUGGUCUGCAUUGACGUCUUGCCAAAGCAGCGCUCAACGUUUCUGGUCGGCUACCCGCAGUGUGGCUUCUCCCACAUGGUGGUGCAGGUUCUGUGGUUGCUUGUUGUGCCCUUCGAAACGCUCAAUGUGCUCGCUGACGAGGCGCUCCAGCAGUGGCUCAAGGAGUACUCAAGCUGGCACACCUCCCCGCAGCUCUACAUCGAAUUCGAGUUCUUCAGAGGGUGUGACAUCACAGUUGGUAUGUAAAUAUGAGGUUUGCUCUCUGGCUCUGCCUUCCCUUCUCCCACGAUUAUGGCAGUCUCAAAUGUUUAAUGGUUUAUUUCUUCACAUUCAGUAGGAUUGGAGUGCACAUGGCACUCUGUACCGGUGGAAUAUAUGCUCUCUGCCUUUCCUUCUCCCAUGAUUAUGAUUACGGUUCAAAAUUUGACUCUGCUGUAGUAGUACACGCCGAUGUUCGUUAUGAAUUGUUCCGUGAGAAACCUGUUCUUUGCAUCAGAGCAUACUAAUUCAUUCGA
Triticum dicoccoides is the source of this 2536-nucleotide RNA transcript. RefSeq lists it as uncharacterized. The record is from RefSeq and is a predicted model, not a curated record. Lineage: Eukaryota; Viridiplantae; Streptophyta; Magnoliopsida; Poales; Poaceae. The transcript has 6 exons.